CUUCCAGUGUCCUUCCCUAACUUUUUGGAGCCUAAAUUUUUAUUUUUAAGACAUGAGUGUCUUAUCUAAGUACCCACCAAAUUUCAAGCCUUUUCGGCAACGUUUACUAUUUUUCAAAAAUCAAAGUUUUCAAUUGCUCAAAACUGCCGAAUAUGGUAGACUGUAGGAAAACAGUCAUAUCUCCUAAACUACUUGGAGUUUUUCAUCCUACUUUUUUUUGAAUGAAACUAGACUCAAAGAGGUUUUAAAUGGUAUAGGUCAUGACUCCAGUGGAGCUCUGUACCGAAUCUGGUGAAGUCUUUAAAUCGAGUCAGUGCAGAAUGAUGUUUGUUUGUGACAUGUCUAUGUGUGAAUUUAUAUGUUUAUGUGAUUAUGCUUGUUUAUGUGCUUGAUUGCUAUGAGUUUAAUUCGAGUUGAGUGUUAAGUCGAGAGUAGGACUUGUGAAUCCUUAGGAGUUAAGUAUACCUAGGGAUUGAGAUUUAGUUGGGUAAAUAGAAGAUGAGUGAUAAGUUAAAGUUUGAGAUGAGAUUGGAUCUUAGUAAAUGAGUUUCUAACUGAGGUUUAUCUUAUCUCAUGAACCACUCCGACGUUGUGACAUCUGAAUAUACAAGCAGAGGACGGAGGUAAGAUCGUCCAAGUACUACGAGAGUAAGCUAAGUUUGUCAGGUGGGCAUUAUUUUGAUAUACCUAUUAUACGAGCUUUCUUAAAUGAUAGGAUAUUUAUGAUUAUGAAUUGAGUUAAUGUUAUGCUUGAAACUAAUUGACUUGCCGAGUUUUGUUAAUAAUGACUUGUGUGUUACCCUCUACUGUUGAGACGAAUUCGGUCCUGCCACAAGCGGGAUUUUGUGCACAGAGGUGACUGUGAGCCGUCUAUCGGGUCGGCCGGUCACGGUACUUGAGAGGGAGGCCUACUUCUCAGUACCUUUAAUGAUGAGUAGUGGAUGUGGUACAUACAUAAUGAAUGUUUAAACUGCGCAGUUACUUUAUUAUGAUGUUAUGAUUUACGAAAUUGCAUGCACAGGUUCUUCUCUAACUAAAACCCCUGUGUGUUGCUUAAUGUGGCAAGUUCAAUUUAUAGCUCUAAGAGCAAGCUUUCUUUUGUUUUUCGGCAUAUGUCCACUGAGUACCUUGUACUCAGCCCUGCAUGUAUUUCUAAAUGUGCAGGAUAAGCGAGGAGGAGGAAGAUCGGUCUGGUGCUGGCGGGGACUUAUUUUGGAUGACAUUGUUCCUUUUACCGUAUUUAUAUUACACACGGUAGCUUUUUGAUGUCGAUGUUUAUAUUUUGGACUUAGUCAAGAAGUAUACUCUCGGCUAUAUGUCUUCAUACAUAUAGUCUGUUCACGUUUUGCUGCGAGACUCUGUAAAUUAUGAACCUUUGUGAAUUUUUAACUAUGUCCGCUUUGUAAACUUUGUCGAGAAUCCCUGUACUUUUGAACUUAUGAAGCCGAUAAUAUUUGUGUCUUUGAGAUGAUGUUAUUGUUAUUCACUUUUGCUUGUGUUGUUGUGAGCUUCCGCUUGUUGUUUGAUCUAGUUUUUCCUUCUUUACUUCAUUAUUUUAUUUAGUCGUAUCGAUACUCGGUCUACGCUAUCACUGGCUAGACGUCGGGCUGCGACAGAGUGGUAUCAGAGCAGGUCGUCUGCUCUGAGUCUAUUUCUUGAUUGAGUCGAAACCCUUGAUUUCAUCUAUUCUUGAAUUGAGUCUAGUCUAACUUGAAUUCUUAGGCUAGUUUGAAAGUUAAGUUUGAGAGUGAGUUUGAAUCGAGAACCCCAGCACCUCCAUCUCCUCCGGCUUAUCGAGGUAAGAGGUUACUGUUGUCCUUUAUUGCUUUUAUGAUGAGAGUGAGCAUGCAUUACUAAUAAGUUAUGUAUUGUUCCGAUGGGCGGAUGUGACCGAGACGAUGGAUCGUGUUAUGUGCAAGCAAUAUUUCUAUAUGAAGGAAUAUCAGUGAUCGUUGCCCUAAUAGGGUACCAACGAGAAUGAGCAUGUUGUCGAUGUGAGAUAUACUAAGUAAGUUUCGGUACCUUAGUUUAUAAUAAUUGCUAUUUCUUCCUUGCAGGAGCGAGAGCUCGACAAUUGAGAUAGUACGAAGAGAAUUUAGAGAUUUCAUUAGAAUUCUAGGGAUAACUUAGAGGAGUUUCUAGGAAUCUAUCACAGACGUUGGCUUAAGGCUUUCCAGUUCGGAGAUUGACAGCGUCAAAGGUGCUCUACUCUUGUUGCCACUACUACCGCUGAAGUAGCAGAAAUAGAGAGCUUUCUAAUAUCGAAGUUUGUUGACAAGACACUGAUAAGGUUAACGUACUAUAGAGACCUUAGGGGAUGCGUAGAUACUCUUGAACACUAGUACUUUAUAAUAGAGGUAUUUUUCCCGGGACCGCGUUUAUUGUCGCUAGAUUAGUUUAUGAGCGUGGACUCACUGAGCCUUUACCCUAUUAUGAUCAUAUUUCAAUCUUUAUUGCGCCCAUUUGAGCCCAUGCUAGAGCCCGAGCCGUUUGUACUCGAGUUGAUUUUUGCCAGAUCCCAUUGCUUCGAGCCUGAGCCGUUUGUAUUGGAGAUCUUUACUUUGAUGCUGGAGAUUAAUUCAUCUUUCGUUUGGUCGAUUGUCCCUUUUUCCAGUAUUGAAUUGCUUUCAUUAUAUCCCAAUUUCUGUUCUAGUUUUUAUUCCAGCAUCUGAUUUUACACUGAUUGUGACUUUUUCAUCUAUUCUUGAGACAUCACCAAUUGCUGUGGAAUCCUUCCUCUACUUGAACUCGCUUUUAUAAGGUUCAGGCAUUUUUAUUCAUCAUAUCUGAUUUCUUACCAUACCCAACAUGAGUUAGGGAUGUCUAGGUAACUAGGAUGGUAUAGCGAGAAUGAUGAUCCGUAGAAAGACGAUUCACGAGAAUAGUUGGUAGGAUACAUAUAUUACGGGACGAGAGCAACUAUCAGACCAUGGAUUCUCUCCCCUCAGCCACCCAUGGAGAAGGCUAACCAUUUCGAGGACGAGGAGAAGUGAUGCUGAGCCAGAUCAGGCAAUAGCAAAUUCUGAGGAGGAUUGAGUUGACGGUUUGGACCAGAUGAUGAUUUUCACGAUAGGAGAUUGAGAUGAUGAUUAGUAUAGAAGUAGCAUCACAGUAGUAUUAGGGAUGUUCCUUUUUUUAUAUAUAAUACUUUCCCCUUUUUAUGAAGAGGUCCCCGCAUGAGGAGAAUUUCUAUAGAGAUAUGUAUAUAUGAAAUGAUGAUGAGAUGGUCUUUAGAUUUCCGAUAAGCUUUCAUUUGUACGCUCUAAUUAUGAGAUGUUUGGAUAUGGACAUUGUUUAGCAUGAAUUGCAAUCAUGAGAUAUGAUUAUAGCAGUGAGAAUAUGGUUUUGUGAACCAACGAUGUAUGAGAAUCUAUUUUAUGCUAACUUAUGUGUCUAUUUAGUAUGCCACCGAGAAGAAGAAACCAAAAUCAAGAAGAAGAGGAAGAAGAUCCUAGAGAUCCUACACCGCCACCACCUUCACCAACUGAAAGAAGGAUUGAGGAACUCUUUUUACGACAGAAUCCACCAAUUUUCAAUGGAACGGGAGAUCCUGCAGAAGCAGAAGAGUGGAUUCGUAGCAUGGAGCGAAUCUUCCGAUUUCUCCGGUGUAACGACCAGGAGCGUCUUAUGUGCAUGUCUUAUCAAUUGAAAGGAUCGGCGGAUUUCUGGUGGGAGGCUAAACAGAAAACCUUAACUCCAGAACAGUUAGAAAACUUUACUUGGGAGCAAUUUAAAGCAGCCAUCUAUGAAAAGUAUAUACCCAGGAGCUAUCGCAAGCAGAAAGAAAUGGAGUUUGUUAACCUUAAGCAAGGACAGAAAACAGUAGCGGAAUAUGAUCGAGAGUUCUGCGACUUAGCCCGUUAUGCGCCAUAUCGGGUAGAUACUGAUGAGAAGAUGUCUGAUUUAUUCUGUUCCGGACUGAAGCAAGAGUUUAGGGUUGUGUUAGCAAGUCAAAGUGCACUUACUUAUGCGGAGGCCUUAAAUAGGGCACUCGACAUGGAACUGGCCAUGCAACCAGAUAGAACUGCACAAGAGCCAGUAAUCACGGCGACCCCAAUCACACAAGUAUCUAAUUCACCUAUUUCUGGACGAGGACUGAAGGAAAAGCGAAUGUGGGAUAAUCGUGUUCCAGAAGCUAAUAGGCCAUGGCAAGGUGUGAAUGCGCAGCCACAGUUCCAAGGACAAGUCAAGCGACAGUUAGGUAGACCAAAUGUUCCACCACAAGGGCCCCAAGGAGCACCACCAUGUCCUAAGUGUCACAAGCUACACUUGGGAGUAUGUAGAGCUGGAACCAAUAGCUGCUUCACAUGCGGGAGAAUUGGGCAUUUCUCCAACCAAUGUCCCAAUCGUCAGCAAGGAACGAGUGGGAGAACAUCGAGCCAGUAUCAACAACCCCAGCUCAGAGCGAUGGAGGAAAUUCUUCCACUACCUCAACCUUUACGACGUCGACGACACCGCCGAAAAUAUCAGUCGAAGAAUUACCAUCAUGAGUCCCAACCAGAUCAACAACAAAUCCAGUAUCAACAAAUUUUAGCGAUCGAGCAAAAGCCUCAGGACGAGAAUCAAGAGAAUUCGGCAGGUAUGGAAGGACUUAAAUGAGCACUACUCGUAACCUUGUUUGAUUCGGGUGCUUCGCACUCUCUUAUUUUUUUUUUACACGUGCGUGAACACAUUAGAACUCGAUAUAGAACCAACUCGGUAGCAUUAAAAGUAGCUACAUCCUUAGGCCAUAUCACCACCAUUACGUGUGUAUGUCCUAACUUAGAAUUCGAAUCAGGAACGCAUAAGCUUAUGGCUAAGACUCUGAGACUAAUGCGUGCGUGGAGCAUAGAUACUAUUUUGAAAAUAGAUUAGUUAUCCGAUUUUAUACGACGAUACAACGCGAGGAGAAGUGGAUUUCGUUCCAGCCAUCCGAUGAGGGACCUACACGCGGCACUAAGAGGAAUUGGAAGAAAACACUAACUAUCAAAGACGCGACACAAUAGUAGUUACCCGAACACAGAACAAGAAUCUAGAGUAAAGAACGAUGACAAGGCAAAUGAUCUGCGCCUCACAGCGGAGCAUCUACGGAGUUUCAGGACUUCAAGAUACAGAAAGAAGACAUCCCAACGAUGGCGUUUCACACAAGAUACAGUCUCUAUGAUGUUAUAGUGAUACCUUUCGGACAGAAGGAUAUAGAUAUAGGUUUUAGUUAUCGAAGAAAAGAAAUGAUUACUACCCCAAUACUCACAGUCCUCGAAACGGACGAGGAAUACGUUAUUUAUGCAGAUGUAGUAAAGAACGCUACACAGUACAUUUUUGAAGCAUGGAACAUUAUCAAGACUUGAAGACAAAGUUUCGAUGGAGAGGCAUGAAACGAGAAGAUAGCUUCAUUCGUAUAACGAUGCUUGGGCCAUUGGGAAGUGAAGGCGCUACAUCAGCAAUCCUAUAGGAGGCUACAAUUGUUAGCAAUUCCAGAAAGGAAGUCAGACCACAUUGCUAGAGACUCGGUCACAAUAUUGCCAAAGGCGAGGAGAGAAAAGACGAUAGUUUGUGAGAUCAUGUGAUUGCAUGAAGCCUCGACAACGAUCACCAUGGAUGGGGAUUCUAAGUUUACCUCACACCUCUGAAUGAGCCUGCCGAAGAAGUUAGGCUUUAGAUUGAAUUUCAGCACUGUUUUGCUUUUUCAUAGACGGAUGGACAAUCUGAGAGGACCGUUUACAUUCUAGAUGAUAUAGUUUAGACAGUGGUUUUAGAAAAAUGAGCUCAAUGUGAACAACUUCUGCUCAAAUCAAGUUUUUCGAUGACAAUAGUUUCUAGGCCGCUAUGACCAUGGCACCGCACGAAGCGCUCAACGGAAGAAUGUGUCAAACCCCGUUUUAUUGGGAUAAAAAAAAGAGAAAGAGAAGAUACCGAGUCAUGAAGCAGUAAAAGAAACGAUCGCUACCCUGCGACAAACUCGACAAAGAAUUAAGGAGGCACAUGACCACCAAAACUCUUACACGGAUACCAGAAGAACGAAGAUUCAAUUCGAAGUUGAAGAUAAAGUUUUUCUAAAAGUUUCCCCAUCCAGCGGAGAGCAUUGUUUCGAAAUACAAAGGAAAGCUUAAACCAAGAUAUAUAGGACUGUAUGAUAUACUAGAGAAAAUAGGCCCUAUUGCCUAUAGUUUUGCGACGCCGCCAAGCUUUGCGAACGUCAAUGAAGUUAGCACGUGUUUCAACGGAGGAAGUACACGCUAAAUCCUAAACUUGUCAUUCGCCAAGAAGAAUUCUCUCUUGAACCAGAUUUGAGCCAUGAAGAGAAGACCUGAAGUUAUUCUAGACAGGAAGAUUCAACAACUGCGAAACAAGUUGAUUUGCUUUGGUAAAGAUCCAAUGGAGACAUCACAGUCAAGAGGAAGCAACUUGGGAACUCGAAGAGAAGAUGGAAAAAAAAUACCCUGAGCUCUUUCCCGAUGGCGAGUAACACAAAUUUCGGGACGAAUUUUUUUUAAGGGGGGUAGGAUGUGACACCCCGCAGUUUUCCAUACUAUUUAUUUUGAGGAUUCACUUUUAAGAGUGUCGAGAUUCUAGCAUUAGCUUAUUAGGGUUGGAAUUUUUUUUUUAAUAAGAUUGAGAUGUGAGUAUUUUAGAAGUUGAUGAUAGAACUAGUGGGUGAAUUUUUUUUUAAUAUAAUGAGUUUUUGAUAGAAAUGCUGAUUAAAUUGAGGAGAUGAUGUAGUUUGUGUUUCCGAUAAAGAAAGCUUAAUUAAUUUUUAGACGAUUUAUAGUGUUAAGUUAAGAGGAUACCUGGCUAGAUAUAGAGCCGAUGUGAGUGAGUGAGACUUACUAUAGAGAUGAGUCGAAUUCAUGAGACAAUUAAAUUGUCGUUAGAUUUUGACUGAUUGAGAGGUCAUGUUUGAGUGAGAAUAAUUUAUUUUUUUUAUGUGACCUACGUGGUGAUAACAGUUGAGAUCGAUUGAUUUAUAAUUUUCUUGGACGUUGUAACAUAGAGAUAAUUUUUUUUUUGGUGAAUUGUGAUCUCACUUUUAUAUUAUAAUUUUUCCUAAUGGAAUUUCUAAGAAUUUAUUUUAAUGAGCUAGAUGUGAUGUGAAUUAGGUGUAUUCUAAUUAUGAUUAAUUAUUUGAUCACACCAUUGGAUGAUAUUGAUUUAUGGUUUUUAAUUAGUAAGUGAUUUUCCCUAACUUAGCUUUUCCUACAAGAUUGAUCUCAUUAAUUAGUGUAGUAUUGAGCAAGCCACGUAUGAGAGCUUUAAUUGUGCAUUAAUUAAUUGGAUGACUUAGUGGGCAAGUUGCAAGUGUGAAGUGUUGGAGAAGCUAGAUUAGUAGCUUAGUGAGCAAGUUUAAGCUUUAAACAAAACAUCUCUCUCUCUCUUCUCUCCCCCUCAUUUUCGAUCUCUCUCUCCCUCUCUCCUUCUCACUUUCUUUUCUCUCUCUACCACCAUUGAUGGUCGUUACCAAGCUCCAAGAAUCAUUCUCAUACUUAGAUCUAUCCUAAAUCAAGUUCUAAACAUCCAUUUCCUUUUAAUCAAGCCAAGAUUUGAAGAGUUUCUCAAGGUUGAAGUCAAAGAAAGAUUUUUAUUAUUUCCAAAUCCUUGAGUAAGUGAUGAAUCCUUUUAUAUCUAGACUUAUUUAUCUUGGAUAUGUGUGUAUAUAGUGAGAUCAAAGCAAAAAAACACCCCUAUCCAUUUUAAAAAUUUUCAAAAAUUAGGGACUUAUACCCUUCAAAAAAAUUUAUUUUCUUUUAUUAAAUUGAGGUUAUUUAAAUACUAUUGGGAUCCUAAUGAGUCUAUUUCCAUGUGUAGAUAAUGGAUUUAAAAAGAGAUAUGAGACUUGAAAUAGUUUAGUUUGUGUAAAUUUGGGAAGUUUUGGAUUCGAGGCUCGAUUGAUGAAUUGAUGAUGAUAUAUGCUAUUGAGAGUGCUAAUAUGAGAUUUGAUGGAUUGAAUUGAUGAUUGAAAUUGAUUAGUAUUUUUGAUAUGAGUUAGUUUGAUGUAAUUUGGGUAAAAUUGAUUCUAUUGGUUUAAUUCACUAAUUGAUUGUUUAUUUAUGCUUUUAAGUGUGCCAAUUUGAUAGAUCUAAGGUUGGAUUAAUGAUUUAUGCAUGUUUACUAAAUUUUACAAAAAGUUUUAGUUUAGGUAAAAAUUGGGACUUUGUGAUCUAUGUGUUAAUUGAUUAAAUUGGCUAAGUUUAAUUGUUAUUAAGCAUGAUAGAAAUGAUAAUUAGGGAUCAAUUUUAGUUAAUUGUCAAGAAAGCCUAAAAUUGGUUAAGUUUUAGUUUACUAAUAAUUGGGAACUUUUGAUUAACAAGAUAAAUACUUGAAUUGAUGAUGUUUAUGUGUUAGUUAGAUUACUAGGUAAAGGAAAGCAUGAUUAAAUUGUUUAUUUAAUAAUGAGUUGUGAAAAUUUUUCGAGUUUAGUUUGCGUGCAUACUUGAGAUCUUGUGUAUAUAAGAUGAAUUAUGAGUUGAGCAUUGUCUAUAUGUGGCUUAUUGAUGAUGAAUUGAGCUUAUUAUANUGAUGAUAACAGUUGAGAUCGAUUGAUUUAUAAUUUUCCUUGGACGUGUAACACAAAGAUGAUUUUUUUUAAAUGGUGAAUUAUGAUCUUGCUAUCUAUAUUAUAAUUUUUCCUAAUGGAAUUUCUAAGAAUUUAUUUUAAUGAGCUAGAUGUGAUGUGAAUUAGGUGUAUUCUAAUUAUGAUUAAUUAUUUUGAUCACACUAUUAGUAUGAUAUUGUAUUUAUUGGUUUUUAAUUUAGUAAGUGAUUUCCCUAACUUAGCUUUUCCUACAAGCUUGAUCUCAUUAAUUAGUGUAGUAUUGAGCAAGCCACAUGUGAGAGCUUUAAUUGUGCAUUAAUUAAUUGGAUGACUUAGUGGGCAAGUUGCAAGUGUGAGUAUUGAAGAAGCUACACUAGUAGCUUAGGGAGCAAGCUUAUGCUCUAAACAAAACCACUCUCUCUCUCUUCUCUCCCCUCAUUCACACGCCCCUCACCCCUCUCUCAUCUCUCUCUCUUUCUUCCUUAAUCCUCCAUUGUUAACCAUUCUCAAAGCUUCAAAAAUCAUAUCUCCACCAUAGAUCUUCACUAAAUCAAAUCAAAACUUCAUUUCCUUUGAAUCAAGAGCAAGAUUGAUGGAGUUUCAAGCUUGAAGUUAGAGAGGAGAAUUUUUAUUUCUUUCAAAAUCCUUGAGUAAGUGAUGAAUCCUUUUAGAUCUAGACUUAAAUGUGUUGUAUAUGUGUAUAUAUGGAUAGAUCAAGCAAGAAAACACCCUAUAUCCCUUCUUUGUGAUUUUCGAAAAUUUGGGUCUUUUACCCUUCUAAAAAUUUUUCUUUUCCUUUUCUUAAAUUGAUGUUAUUUAAAUACUAUUGGGUUCCUAAUUAGUCUAUUUACAUGUGUAGAUAAUUGAAUUAAAAAGAGAUAUGAGAUUUGAAAUAGUUUAGUUUGUGUAAAUUUGGGAAGUUUUGUAUUUGAGGCUUGAUUGAUGAAUUGAUGGAUGAUAUAUGAUAUUGAGAGUGUUUAUAUGAGAUUUGAUGGAUUGGAUUGAUGGUUGAAAUUGAUUAGUAAUUUUUGAUAUGAGUUAGUUUGAUGUAAUUUGGGUAAAAUUGAUUCUAUGGUUUAAUUUACUAAUUGAUUGUUUAUUUAUGCUAUUAAGUGUGCCAAUUUGAUAGAUCUAAGGUUGGAUUAAUGAUUUAUGCAUGUUUACAAAUUUUCAAAAAGUUUAGUUUGUUAAAAAUUGGGACUUUGUGAUCUAUGUGUUAAUUGAUUAAAUUGGCUAAGUUUAAUUGUUAUUAAGCAUGAUAGAAAUGAUAAUUAGGGAUCAAUUUGGUUAAUUGUCAAGAAUGCCUAAAAUUGGUUAAGUUUAGUUUGCUAGUAAUUGGGAACUUUUGAGUAAUGAAAUAAAUACUUGAAUUGAUGAUGUUUAUAUGAUAGUUAGACUACUAGCAAGGAGAAAGCAUUAUUAAAUUGGUUAAUGAUGUUGAUUUGUGAAAAAUUUCCGAGUUUAGUUUGCGUGCAUACAUGAGAUCCUGUAUAUAAGAUGAGUUAUGAGCCAAGCAUGUCUAUAUGUGGCUUUUUGAUGAUUAUUUGAGCUUAUAUAUGCAAUAUGAGACGAAACGGACCAACCCCUAAUGACCUAUGUGUUGGCCGAAUGUAGGGAGAAAAAGGGGAAGUCGAUGUUUGAAUUUUCUUGAGUUAUAUGAUUAUGUAUUUAUGUUAUUGUGUAUUAUAUGAGCUUAAUUUGAAUUUUUGAGAAUUUUGCAUCGAAGAAAUCCAAAGUCUAGGUAUAAUUGCUUGUAUGUUCAAGUUUGGAGUCAUUUUAUGACCUUUUAUACCUACUGUUUCGUUGGGUUCUUGUUAUCUAAAGACCUUGAAAAUUUUAUGGUAAGAUUAAAUAAGAGUCAGGAGUAUACCGGUAAAAGUUCAAGUCAAUUGGACUUUGUUUACUAUUUUUAUAAAAUAGAAAACCAAAACUGCUACCUUCUGUCGAAAUGUUCGGUGAGUAUCCAAUAGAGUCACCUCUUCCAGUGUCCUUCCCUAACUUUUUGGAGCCUAAAUAUUUAUUUUUAAGACAUGAGUGUCUUAUCUAAGUACCCACCAAAUUUCAAGCCUUUUCGGCAACGUUUACUAUUUUUCAAAAAUAAUAGUUUUCAAUUGCUCAAAACUGCCGAAUAUGGUAGACUGUAAGGAAAACAGUCAUAUCUCCUAAACUACUUGGUAGUUUUUCAUCCUUACUUUUUUUGAAUGAAACUAGACUCAAAGUAGGUUUUACAUGGUAUAGGUUGUGACUCCAGUGGAGCUCUGUACCGAAUCUGGUGAAGUCUUUAAAUCGAGUCAGUGCAGAAUGAUGUUUGUUUGUGACAUGUCUAUGUGUGAAUUUAUAUGUUUAUGUGAUUAUGCUUGUUUAUGUGCUUGAUUGCUAUGAGUUUAAUUCGAGUUGAGUGUUAAGUCGAGAGUAGGACUUGUGAAUCCUUAGGAGUUAAGUAUACCUAGGGAUUGAGAUUUAGUUGGGUAAAUAGAAGAUGAGUGAUAAGUUAAAGUUUGAGAUGAGAUUGAAUCUUAGUAAAUGAGUUUCUAACUGAGGUUUAUCUUAUCUCAUGAACCACUCCGACGUUGUGACAUCUGAAUAUACAAGCAGAGGACGGAGGUAAGAUCGUCCAAGUACUACGAGAGUAAGCUAAGUUUGUCAGGUGGGCAUUAUUUUGAUAUACCUAUUAUACGAGCUUUCUUAAAUGAUAUGAUAUUUAUGAUUAUGAAUUGAGUUAAUGUUAUGCUUGAAACUAAUUGACUUGCCAAGUUUUGUUAAUAAUGACUUGUGUGUUACCCUCUACUGUUGAGACGAAUUCGGUCCUGCCACAAGCGGGAUUUUGUGCACAGAGGUGACUGUGAGCCGUCGAUCGGGUCGGCCGGUCACGGUACUUGAGAGGGAGGCCUACUUCUCAGUACCUUUAAUGAUGAGUAGUGGAUGUGGUACAUACAUAAUGAAUGUUUAAACUGCGCAGUUACUUUAUUGUGAUGUUAUGAUUUGCGAAAUUGCAUGCACAGGUUCUUCUCUAACUAAAACCCCUGUGUGUUGCUUAAUGUGGCAAGUUCAAUUUAUAGCUCUAAGAGCAAGCUUUCUUUUGUUUUUCGGCAUAUGUACACUGAGUACUUUGUACUCAGCCCUGCAUGUAUUUCUAAAUGUGCAGGAUAAGCGAGAAGGAGGAAGAUCGGUCUGGUGCUGGUGGGGACUUUUUGGACGACGUUGUUCCUUUUACCGUAUUUAUAUUACAUACGGUAGCUUUUUGAUGUCGAUGUUUAUAUUUUGGACUUAGACAAGAAGUAUACUCUCGGCUAUAUGUCUUCAUACAUAUAGUCUGUUCACGUUUUGCUGCGAG
This 11843-nucleotide long non-coding RNA is filed under the name Salvia miltiorrhiza (redroot sage). RNAcentral describes it as "long non-coding RNA (SMIL_LNC005853)". The record is from RNAcentral. Lineage: Eukaryota; Viridiplantae; Streptophyta; Magnoliopsida; Lamiales; Lamiaceae.